This 431-nucleotide ribosomal RNA is filed under the name Chamaeleo calyptratus (veiled chameleon). RNAcentral describes it as "partial large subunit ribosomal RNA". It matches the Rfam family "Bacterial large subunit ribosomal RNA", at positions 1907 to 2569 of the family's 2925-position model. Lineage: Eukaryota; Metazoa; Chordata; Lepidosauria; Squamata; Chamaeleonidae. The record is from RNAcentral.
CCCUGUGGAACCCUAAACGGCCGCGGCACAAAACCGUGCAAAGGUAGCACAAUCACUUGUCCCUUAAAUGAGGACCCGUAUGAAAGGCAACAUGAGAGAAAUCCUGUCUCCUAAGGUCGGCCAAUGAAAUUGAUCCAUCAGUACAAAAGCUGAUAUAUUUAAGCAAGACAAAAAGACCCUAUGGAACUUUAACGAGUUGUUUACACACAAUAAACAAUAAUUUCAGUUGGGAUAACUUUAGAAAAAAUAAACCUCUAACAUCAUCAAGACCAACCAGUCUUAUCACACCACAUACGACCCAGUAACACUGACUAACGAAACAAGCUACCCUAGGGAUAACAGCGCCACCUUCUCAAAGAGUCCAUAUCAACAAGAAGAUCUACGACCUCGAUGUUGGAUCAGGGUACCCAGACGGUGCAGCAGCUGUCAAC